GAUGAACGCUGGCGGCGUGCCUAAUACAUGCAAGUCGAGCGAACAGACGAGGAGCUUGCUCCUCUGACGUUAGCGGCGGACGGGUGAGUAACACGUGGAUAACCUACCUAUAAGACUGGGAUAACUUCGGGAAACCGGAGCUAAUACCGGAUAAUAUAUUGAACCGCAUGGUUCAAUAGUGAAAGACGGUUUUGCUGUCACUUAUAGAUGGAUCCGCGCCGCAUUAGCUAGUUGGUAAGGUAACGGCUUACCAAGGCGACGAUGCGUAGCCGACCUGAGAGGGUGAUCAGCCACACUGGAACUGAGACACGGUCCAGACUCCUACGGGAGGCAGCAGUAGGGAAUCUUCCGCAAAGGGCGAAAGCCUGACGGAGCAACGCCGCGUGAGUGAUGAAGGUCUUCGGAUCGUAAAACUCUGUUAUUAGGGAAGAACAAAUGUGUAAGUAACUAUGCACGUCUUGACGGUACCUAAUCAGAAAGCCACGGCUAACUACGUG
Molecule: ribosomal RNA, 497 nt
Filed under: uncultured bacterium
Lineage: Bacteria
Description: partial 16S ribosomal RNA
Rfam family: Bacterial small subunit ribosomal RNA
Source: RNAcentral